This 248-nucleotide unclassified non-coding RNA is filed under the name plant metagenome. RNAcentral describes it as "partial contains small subunit ribosomal RNA, internal transcribed spacer 1, and 5.8S ribosomal RNA". The record is from RNAcentral.
UUUCCGUAGGUGAACCUGCGGAAGGAUCAUUAACGAGUUUUGACAUGGGUUGCAGCUGGCCUUCCGAGGCAUGUGCACGCCCUGCUCAUCCACUCUACACCUGUGCACUUACUGUGGGAUUUCAGGUGCGUCGCUUUGCGGCGGCGUCACUCGGCCCACGUUUUCUUUACAAACUAUUGAAGUAACAGGAUGUUUAUUGAUGUAACGCAUCUAUAAUACAACUUUCAGCAACGGAUCUCUUGGCUCUC